UGAAUGCUAUGCGUUUGUAACGGCAUUCUUUUUUGAGGUACGAUAAAAAGAUACAGUGGAAGGCCUGGUACUAC
RNAcentral lists this small RNA (74 nucleotides) under Algorimicrobium echini. RNAcentral describes it as "Bizionia echini Flavo-1 RNA". The record is from RNAcentral. Lineage: Bacteria; Pseudomonadati; Bacteroidota; Flavobacteriia; Flavobacteriales; Flavobacteriaceae.